Molecule: ribosomal RNA, 894 nt
Filed under: Dichostereum rhodosporum
Lineage: Eukaryota; Fungi; Basidiomycota; Agaricomycetes; Russulales; Lachnocladiaceae
Description: LSU rRNA
Rfam family: Eukaryotic large subunit ribosomal RNA
Source: RNAcentral
CUAGCAUAUCAAUAAGCGGAGGAAAAGAAACUAACAAGGAUUCCCCUAGUAACUGCGAGUGAAGCGGGAAGAGCUCAAAUUUAAAAUCUGGCGGCCUUGCCGUCCGAGUUGUAAUUUAGAGAAGCGUUUUCCGCGUCGGACCGUGUACAAGUCUCCUGGAACGGAGCGUCAUAGAGGGUGAGAAUCCCGUCUUUGACACGGACCCCCGGUGCUCUGUGAUACGCUCUCGAAGAGUCGAGUUGUUUGGGAAUGCAGCUCAAAAUGGGUGGUGAACUCCAUCUAAAGCUAAAUAUUGGCGAGAGACCGAUAGCGAACAAGUACCGUGAGGGAAAGAUGAAAAGCACUUUGGAAAGAGAGUGAAACAGUACGUGAAAUUGCUGAAAGGGAAACGCUUGAAGUCAGUCGCGUCCGCCGGAAUUCAGCCUUCAUGGUGUACUUUCUGACGGACGGGCCAGCAUCACUUUUGAUCGCCGGAAAAGGGCAGAGGGAAUGUGGCACCUCCGGGUGUGUUAUAGCCCUCUGUCGUAUACGGUGGUUGGGAGUGAGGACCGCCUAUCUUUGUAGGAUGCUGGCGUAAUGGCUUUAAACGACCCGUCUUGAAACACGGACCAAGGAGUCUAACAUGCCCGCGAGUGUUCGGGUGGAAAACCCGUGCGCGUAAUGAAAGUGAAAGUUGGGAAGGCUGUCAUGGCCUGCACCGACGCCCGGACCUGAGAUUUAUCAAAGGUUCUGCGGUAGAGCGUGUAUGUUGGGACCCGAAAGAUGGUGAACUAUGCCUGAAUAGGGUGAAGCCAGAGGAAACUCUGGUGGAGGCUCGUAGCGAUUCUGACGUGCAAAUCGAUCGUCAAAUUUGGGUAUAGGGGCGAAAGACUAAUCGAACCAUCUAGUAGCUGG